Molecule: transfer RNA, 73 nt
Filed under: Stegodyphus mimosarum
Lineage: Eukaryota; Metazoa; Arthropoda; Arachnida; Araneae; Eresidae
Rfam family: tRNA
About the family: Transfer RNA (tRNA) molecules are approximately 80 nucleotides in length. Their secondary structure includes four short double-helical elements and three loops (D, anti-codon, and T loops).
Source: Rfam by way of RNAcentral
GCCUUCGUGAUGUAGCGGUCAGCACGCUCGACGCGUAACCGAGAGAUCCGUGGUUCAAUUCCCGGCGAAGGCA